CACCGAAGGAGGACCUCGCGGCCUAUCAGCUUGUUGGCGGGGUAAAUGGCCCACCAAGGCGACGACGGGUAGCUGGUCUGAGAGGAUGAUCAGCCACAUUGGGACUGAGACACGGCCCAG
Molecule: ribosomal RNA, 120 nt
Filed under: uncultured bacterium
Lineage: Bacteria
Description: partial 16S ribosomal RNA
Rfam family: Bacterial small subunit ribosomal RNA
Source: RNAcentral